CCUACGGGUGGCAGCAGUGAGGAAUAUUGGUCAAUGGACGGAAGUCUGAACCAGCCAUGCCGCGUGCAGGAAGACGGCUCUAUGAGUUGUAAACUGCUUUUGUACAAGGGUAAACCUGAAUACGCGUAUUCAGCUGAAAGUACCGUACGAAUAAGGAUCGGCUAACUCCGUGCCAGCAGCCGCGGUAAUACGGAGGAUCCAAGCGUUAUCCGGAUUUAUUGGGUUUAAAGGGUGCGUAGGCGGUUGGAUAAGUUAGAGGUGAAAUGCCGGGGCUCAACUUCGGAACUGCCUCUAAUACUGUUGGGCUAGAGAGUAGAUGCGGUAGGCGGAAUGUAUGGUGUAGCGGUGAAAUGCUUAGAGAUCAUACAGAACACCGAUUGCGAAGGCAGCUUACCAAGCUAUAUCUGACGUUGAGGCACGAAAGCGUGGGGAGCAAACAGGAUUAGAUACCCGGGUAGUC
RNAcentral lists this ribosomal RNA (460 nucleotides) under uncultured bacterium. Its description in RNAcentral is "partial 16S ribosomal RNA". It matches the Rfam family "Bacterial small subunit ribosomal RNA", at positions 338 to 795 of the family's 1533-position model. The record is from RNAcentral.